Molecule: ribosomal RNA, 428 nt
Filed under: Bacteroidota bacterium
Lineage: Bacteria; Pseudomonadati; Bacteroidota
Description: Bacteroidetes bacterium partial 16S ribosomal RNA
Rfam family: Bacterial small subunit ribosomal RNA
Source: RNAcentral
UAGGGAAUCUUCCGCAAUGGACGCAAGUCUGACGGAGCAACGCCGCGUGAGUGAAGAAGGAUUUCGGUUCGUAAAACUCUGUUGUUAGAGAAGAACAGCGCAUAGAGUAACUGUUAUGCGUGUGACGGUAUCUAACCAGAAAGCCACGGCUAACUACGUGCCAGCAGCCGCGGUAAUACGUAGGUGGCAAGCGUUGUCCGGAUUUAUUGGGCGUAAAGCGAGCGCAGGCGGUUAGAUAAGUCUGAAGUUAAAGGCAGUGGCUCAACCAUUGUAGGCUUUGGAAACUGUUUAACUUGAGUGCAGAAGGGGAGAGUGGAAUUCCAUGUGUAGCGGUGAAAUGCGUAGAUAUAUGGAGGAACACCGGUGGCGAAGGCGACUUUCUGGACACAAACUGACGCUGAGGUACGAAAGCGUGGGGAGCAAACAGG